RNAcentral lists this ribosomal RNA (740 nucleotides) under uncultured bacterium. RNAcentral describes it as "bacterial SSU rRNA". It matches the Rfam family "Bacterial small subunit ribosomal RNA", at positions 60 to 795 of the family's 1533-position model. The record is from RNAcentral.
AGUCGAACGGUAACAGGGAUUGCUUGCAAUCCGCUGACGAGUGGCGCACGGGUGCGUAACGCGUAUACAAUCUGCCUUACACUGGGGGAUAGCCUUUAGAAAUGAAGAUUAAUACCCCAUGGUCUAUAGAAGUGGCAUCGCUUUUAUAGUAAAGGUUACGGUGUAAGAUGAGUAUGCGUCCUAUUAGUUUGUUGGUGUGGUAACGGCACACCAAGACUACGAUAGGUAGGGGCCCUGAGAGGGGGAUCCCCCACACUGGUACUGAGACACGGACCAGACUCCUACGGGAGGCAGCAGUGAGGAAUAUUGGACAAUGGGCGAGAGCCUGAUCCAGCCAUGCCGCGUGCAGGAAGACUGCCCUAUGGGUUGUAAACUGCUUUUAUACGGGAAGAAACACUCCUACGUGUAGGAAUUUGACGGUACCGUAAGAAUAAGCAUCGGCUAACUCCGUGCCAGCAGCCGCGGUAAUACGGAGGAUGCAAGCGUUAUCCGGAAUCAUUGGGUUUAAAGGGUCCGUAGGCGGGCAGUUAAGUCAGGGGUGAAAGUUUGCGGCUCAACCGUAAAAUUGCCUCUGAUACUGAUUGUCUUGAAUUAGUGUGAAGUGGUUAGAAUGAGUAGUGUAGCGGUGAAAUGCAUAGAUAUUACUCAGAAUACCGAUUGCGAAGGCAGAUCACUAACACUAUAUUGACGCUGAUGGACGAAAGCGUGGGGAGCGAACAGGAUUAGAUACCCUGGUAGUC